Molecule: ribosomal RNA, 245 nt
Filed under: uncultured bacterium
Lineage: Bacteria
Description: partial 16S ribosomal RNA
Rfam family: Bacterial small subunit ribosomal RNA
Source: RNAcentral
AACGAAGUCUUCGGACUUAGUGGCGGACGGGUGAGUAACGCGUAAGAAUCUACCUAUAGGUUCGGGACAACAGUUAGAAAUGACUGCUAAUACCGGAUAUGCCUUCGGGUGAAAGUUUUAAUGCCUGUAGAUGAGCUUGCGUUCGAUUAGCUAGAUGGUGGGGUAACGGCCUACCAUGGCGACGAUCGAUAACUGGUCUGAGAGGAUGACCAGUCACACUGGGACUGAGACACGGCCCAGACUCC